GUGGGGAAUUUUGGACAAUGGGCGCAAGCCUGAUCCAGCAAUGCCGCGUGCAGGAAGAAGGCCUUCGGGUUGUAAACUGCUUUUGUACGGAACGAAACGGUCCUGGUUAAUACCUGGGGCUAAUGACGGUACCGUAAGAAUAAGCACUGGCUAACUACGUGCCAGCAGCCGCGGUAAUACGUAGGGUGCGAGCGUUAAUCGGAAUUACUGGGCGUAAAGCGUGCGCAGGCGGUGCUGUAAGACAGGCGUGAAAUCCCCGGGCUCAACCUGGGAAUUGCGCUUGUGACUGCAGUGCUGGAGUACGGCAGAGGGGGAUGGAAUUCCGCGUGUAGCAGUGAAAUGCGUAGAUAUGCGGAGGAACACCGAUGGCGAAGGCAGUCCCCUGGGCCUGUACUGACGCUCAUGCACGAAAGCGUGGGGAGCAAACAGGAUUAGAUACCCCAGUAGUCC
This 450-nucleotide ribosomal RNA is filed under the name uncultured bacterium. Its description in RNAcentral is "partial 16S ribosomal RNA". It matches the Rfam family "Bacterial small subunit ribosomal RNA", at positions 354 to 796 of the family's 1533-position model. The record is from RNAcentral.